This 462-nucleotide ribosomal RNA is filed under the name uncultured bacterium. RNAcentral's name for it is "bacterial SSU rRNA". It matches the Rfam family "Bacterial small subunit ribosomal RNA", at positions 917 to 1382 of the family's 1533-position model. The record is from RNAcentral.
GGGCCCGCACAAGCGGUGGAGCAUGUGGUUUAAUUCGAAGCAACGCGAAGAACCUUACCAGGGCUUGACAUCCCUUGACCGCCAUAGAGAUAUGGCUUCUCUUCGGAGCAAGGAGACAGGUGGUGCAUGGUUGUCGUCAGCUCGUGUCGUGAGAUGUUGGGUUAAGUCCCGCAACGAGCGCAACCCUUGUCAUUAGUUGCCAUCAUUUAGUUGGGGACUCUAAUGAGACUGCCGGUGACAAACCGGAGGAAGGUGGGGAUGACGUCAAAUCAUCAUGCCCCUUAUGUCCUGGGCUACACACGUGCUACAAUGGUCUGUACAGAGGGAAGCGAAGGGGUGACCUGGAGCGAAUCCCAGAAAGCAGAUCUCAGUUCGGAUUGCAGGCUGCAACUCGCCUGCAUGAAGUCGGAAUCGCUAGUAAUCGCAGGUCAGCAUACUGCGGUGAAUACGUUCCCGGGCCUU